GACGAACGCUGGCGGCGUGCUUAACACAUGCAAGUCGAACGGAAAGGCCCUGCUUUUGUGGGGUGCUCGAGUGGCGAACGGGUGAGGAACACGUGAGUAACCUGCCCUUGACUUUGGGAUAACUUAAGGAAACUGGGGCUAAUACCGGAUAGGAGCUCCUGCUGCAUGGUGGGGGUUGGAAAGUUUCGGCGGUUGGGGAUGGACUCGCGGCUUAUCAGCUUGUUGGUGGGGUAGUGGCUUACCAAGGCUUUGACGGGUAGCCGGCCUGAGAGGGUGACCGGCGACAUUGGGACUGAGAUACGGACCAGACUCCUACGGGAGGCAGCAGGGGGGAAUAUUGCACAAUGGGCGGAAGCGUGAUGCAGCAACGCCGCGUUCGUGAUGACGGCCUUCGGGUUGUAAACCGCUUUCGCCUGUGACGAAGCGUGAGUGACGGUAAUGGGUAAAGAAGCACCGGCUAACUACGUG
This 468-nucleotide ribosomal RNA is filed under the name uncultured bacterium. RNAcentral's name for it is "partial 16S ribosomal RNA". It matches the Rfam family "Bacterial small subunit ribosomal RNA", at positions 28 to 507 of the family's 1533-position model. The record is from RNAcentral.